AGACCCUAAUCUUUAGUUCCUAGA
RNAcentral lists this non-coding RNA (24 nucleotides) under Arabidopsis thaliana (thale cress). The record is from RNAcentral. Lineage: Eukaryota; Viridiplantae; Streptophyta; Magnoliopsida; Brassicales; Brassicaceae.